Molecule: ribosomal RNA, 1262 nt
Filed under: Abscondita chinensis
Lineage: Eukaryota; Metazoa; Arthropoda; Insecta; Coleoptera; Lampyridae
Description: 16S ribosomal RNA
Rfam family: Archaeal large subunit ribosomal RNA (bases 1023-1181)
Source: RNAcentral
UCAUAAAUUUAAUUAUUAUUAUUAUUUAUUUAAAAUAUUAUUUUAUUUAUUAUUAAAUAAGAAAAAUUUAAUUUUAUUAUAGUUUACUAGUAAAGUGAUUGAAUUUUUUUCUAUUAUAAAAAGAAAAAUUUAUUUUUUGUACCUUGUGUAUCAGGGUUGAUUUAUUUUAUUAUUAUUAUUAAUUUUUUUUGAAUUAAGAAGAGCUAAUUAUGUAUAUGUUUAAUUUUUUCAUAAAUUUUCUUUAUACAUAGUUUGAAAUGAAAUGUUAUUCGUUUCUUAAUAUAUCUAGUUUUUUAAGAAAAGAAUUUAAUUCUCUUAUUAUUUGUUAUUAGUUAAUUUUUAGUUAAUAAUUUUUAGUAUGAAAGAAAUAAAGGGAUAAGCUUUUAUUUUUAUAAUUAAAAAUUUUUUUUAUUUAUAUUUUUUGUAUAAUUUAAAUUGUUAAUCAUUUAAAUAAUUUAAUAGUUAAUUUUAUUAAAUCAAUAAUUUAUAUUUAUUUUAAUUUUUAUAUUAAAAAUUUGUGUUUAAUUUUUUAACUUUUUUUUAAUGAUUAAAUUAGUAGAUAAAUAUGUAUUUUGUAGUAAAAUUUUAAGGUAAUAAAAAGGAACUCGGCAAAUUAAUUUUUCGCCUGUUUAUUAAAAACAUGUCUUUUUGAUUAUAAUUUAAGGUUUAAUCUGCUCAAUGAUUUAUUAAAUUGCCGCAGUAUUUUGACUGUGCAAAGGUAGCAUAAUAAUUAGCUUUUUUAUUGAAAGCUGGAAUGAAUGAUUGGACGAGAAAAUUUCUGUCUCUUUAUUAUUUUUAUUUAAUUUAACUUUUAAGUUAAAAGGCUUAAAUUUAUUUAAAAGACGAGAAGACCCUAUAGAGUUUUAUUUUUAUUUUAUAAAUUAUUUUUAGAAUUUAAAAUAUAUUAUAAGAUAAAGAAUUUAGUUGGGGUGACUAAAAGAUUAAUUUAACUCUUUUAAUUAAAAUCAUUUAUUUAUGAAUAUAAAAUCUAUUUUUAUAAGUUUAAAAUAAAUUACCUUAGGGAUAACAGCGUUAUUUUUCUUUAGAGUUCUUAUUAAAAGGAAAGAUUGCGACCUCGAUGUUGGAUUAAAAUUUAUUUUAGGUGUAGAAGCUUAAUAAUUGAGUCUGUUCGACUUUUAAAAUUUUACAUGAUCUGAGUUUAAACCGGUGUGAGCCAGGUUGGUUUCUAUCUUUAAAUUUUUAAUAUAUUUUAGUACGAAAGGACCAAAUAUAUAAUAAAUUAUUUUUUUUUGAAUAAUAUU